ACGGCGAGUGAAGCGGCAAAGCUCAAAUUUGAAUCUAGCACCUUCGGUGUUCGAGUUGUAAUUUGAAGAUGGUAAUCUUGGGUUUGGCUCUUGUCUAUGUUCCUUGGAACAGGACGUCAUAGAGGGUGAGAAUCCCGUCUGAUGAGAUGCCCAUUCCUUUGUAAGAUACUAUCGAAGAGUCGAGUUGUUUGGGAAUGCAGCUCUAAGUGGGUGGUAAUUCCAUCUAAAGCUAAA
This 234-nucleotide ribosomal RNA is filed under the name Hansenula ciferrii. RNAcentral's name for it is "Wickerhamomyces ciferrii partial large subunit ribosomal RNA". It matches the Rfam family "Eukaryotic large subunit ribosomal RNA", at positions 86 to 320 of the family's 3401-position model. The record is from RNAcentral. Lineage: Eukaryota; Fungi; Ascomycota; Saccharomycetes; Phaffomycetales; Wickerhamomycetaceae.